RNAcentral lists this ribosomal RNA (465 nucleotides) under uncultured bacterium. RNAcentral describes it as "partial 16S ribosomal RNA". It matches the Rfam family "Bacterial small subunit ribosomal RNA", at positions 28 to 507 of the family's 1533-position model. The record is from RNAcentral.
GACGAACGCUGGCGGCGUGCUUAACACAUGCAAGUCGUACGGUAAGGCCCUUUCGGGGGUACACGAGUGGCGAACGGGGGAGUAACACGUGAGUAACCUGCCCACAACUUUGGGAUAACGCUAGGAAACUGGGGCUAAUACUGGAUAUGUGCUCCUGCUGCAUGGUGGGGGUUGGAAAGCUCCGGCGGUUGUGGAUGGACUCGUGGCCUAUCAGCUUGUUGGUGGGGUAGUGGCCUACCAAGGCGGCGACGGGUAGCCGGCCUGAGAGGGUGACCGGCCACAUUGGGACUGAGAGACGGCCCAGACUCCUACGGGUGGCAGCAGUGGGGAAUAUUGCACAAGGGGCGCCAGCCUGAUGCAGCAACGCCGCGUGCGGGAUGACGGCCUUAGGGUUGUAAACCGCUUUCAGCAGGGACGAAGCUUUUUGUGACGGUACCUGCAGAAGAAGCACCGGCUAACUACGUG